UAAAGGUUUGGUCCUAGCCUUCCUAUUAGCCAUUAACAAGAUUACACAUGUAAGUCUCCACGCUCCAGUGAAGAUGCCCCUUGAAGUCCUCUUAGACGACCUAAAGGAGCGGGUAUCAAGCACACCUUAUGGUAGCUCACAACGCCUUGCUUAGCCACACCCCCACGGGAAACAGCAGUGAUAAAAAUUAAGCUAUGAACGAAAGUUCGACUAAGCUAUGUUAAUACUAGGGUUGGUAAAUCUCGUGCCAGCCACCGCGGUCAUACGAUUAACUCGAGUUAAUAGGCCUACGGCGUAAAGCGUGUAAAAGAAAAAAUCUCCUCUACUAAAGUUAAAGUAUGAUUAAGCUGUAAAAAGCUACCAUUAAUACUAAAAUAAACUACGAAAGUGACUUUAAAAUUUCUGAUUACACGAUAGCUAGGGCCCAAACUGGGAUUAGAUACCCCACUAUGCCUAGCUCUAAACAUAGAUAUUUUACUAAACAAAACUAUUCGCCAGAGAACUACUAGCAACAGCUUAAAACUCAAAGGACUUGGCGGUGCUUUAUAUCCCCCUAGAGGAGCCUGUUCUGUAAUCGAUAAACCCCGAUAGACCUCACCAUCCCUUGCUAAUUCAGUUUAUAUACCGCCAUCUUCAGCAAACCCUUAAAAAGGAAAAAAAGUAAGCAUAACUACCCUACAUAAAAAAGUUAGGUCAAGGUGUAACCUAUGGGCUGGGAAGAAAUGGGCUACAUUUUCUAUUCAAGAACAACUUCUACGAAAACUUUUAUGAAACUAAAAGCUAAAGGCGGAUUUAGUAGUAAAUUAAGAAUAGAGAGCUUAAUUGAACAGGGCAAUGAAGCACGCACACACCGCCCGUCACCCUCCUCGAGUGAUAUAAUUUAAUUAUAACCUAUUUAAACUAAGCAAAGCAUAAGAGGAGACAAGUCGUAACAAGGUAAGCAUACUGGAAAGUGUGCUUGGAUGAGC
This 968-nucleotide non-coding RNA is filed under the name Ailuropoda melanoleuca (giant panda). RNAcentral's name for it is "12S ribosomal RNA". It matches the Rfam family "Bacterial small subunit ribosomal RNA". Lineage: Eukaryota; Metazoa; Chordata; Mammalia; Carnivora; Ursidae. The record is from RNAcentral.